Molecule: ribosomal RNA, 551 nt
Filed under: uncultured bacterium
Lineage: Bacteria
Description: bacterial SSU rRNA
Rfam family: Bacterial small subunit ribosomal RNA
Source: RNAcentral
UAGGGAAUCUUCCUGCAAUGGGCGAAAGCCUGACGGAGCAACGCCGCGUGAGUGAAGAAGGAUUUCGGUUCGUAAAGCUCUGUUGUUAGGGAAGAAUGAUUGUGUAGUAACUAUACACAGUAGAGACGGUACCUAACCAGAAAGCCACGGCUAACUACGUGCCAGCAGCCGCGGUAAUACGUAGGUGGCAAGCGUUGUCCGGAAUUAUUGGGCGUAAAGCGCGCGCAGGUGGUUUAAUAAGUCUGAUGUGAAAGCCCACGGCUCAACCGUGGAGGGUCAUUGGAAACUGUUAAACUUGAGUGCAGGAGAGAAAAGUGGAAUUCCUAGUGUAGCGGUGAAAUGCGUAGAGAUUAGGAGGAACACCAGUGGCGAAGGCGGCUUUUUGGCCUGUAACUGACACUGAGGCGCGAAAGCGUGGGGAGCAAACAGGAUUAGAUACCCUGGUAGUCCACGCCGUAAACGAUGAGUGCUAAGUGUUGGAUCCUUUCCGGGAUUCAGUGCCGCAGCUAACGCAUUAAGCACUCCGCCUGGGGAGUACGACCGCAAGGUUG